GUAGGUGGCAAGCGUUGUCCGGAAUUAUUGGGCGUAAAGCGCGCGCAGGCGGUUUUUUAAAGUCUGAUGUGAAAGCCCACGGCUCAACCGUGGAGGGUCAUUGGAAACUGGAGAACUUGAGUACAGAAGAGGAAAGCGGAAUUCCACGUGUAGCGGUGAAAUGCGUAGAGAUGUGGAGGAACACCAGUGGCGAAGGCGGCUUUCUGGUCUGUAACUGACGCUGAGGCGCGAAAGCGUGGGGAGCAAACAGGGAUUAGAUACCCUGGUAGUCCACGCCGUAAACGAUGAGUGCUAAGUGUUAGGGGGUUUCCGCCCCCUUAGUGCUGCAGCUAACGCAUUAAGCACUCCGCCUGGGGAGUACGGCCGCAAGGCUG
Molecule: ribosomal RNA, 374 nt
Filed under: uncultured organism
Description: partial 16S ribosomal RNA
Rfam family: Bacterial small subunit ribosomal RNA
Source: RNAcentral